Molecule: long non-coding RNA, 1116 nt
Organism: Bubalus bubalis (water buffalo)
Lineage: Eukaryota; Metazoa; Chordata; Mammalia; Artiodactyla; Bovidae
Exons: 2
Source: RefSeq, a predicted model, not a curated record
CGCGGCGGCAGCGAAGUGGGAAUGAAUAUUCCGACCACCGCCCCCUCGACAUAAACAGAAGCUACCAUUGGUCCGUGCUGCAUAACGUCACGCAGCCGGCAUGCCUAUUUCACGUGAUCGCUAAGGCGUUUCUCAAUGAAAGGGGCCGGGAGGCGGGGCCAGAGCGCGUGCACAGAGGGUAGUAGGUCACGGUGUCCUCGCACCUCGAGCGUUUGUCAGGAGGGCUGCGCCCGGCGCGGUGUCGACCCGAGCAGCCUAGCGGAUCCGAGCUCCUCGAUCCCCGGCUCCCGGUCUGGGUUCCUGAGCUGUUUUACAUUCACAACAAAAUUGAAACGAAGGUACAGAAAAUUUCCAUUUGCCUCCUGCUUGAUUUGCGUUUUAAUAAUUGGAUCUAUGACCCAGCAUUUCCGCUUCCUGUUAUCUGUUGAUAUCUCAGUUGUGGCAUCAUGCGUGGAAUCAGUCGUGUCCGACUCUUUACAGCCUCAGGGACUGUAGCCUGCCAGGCUCCUCUGUCCUUGGAGUCUUUUUUCAAGUCAGGAAUACUGAAGACGGUUGCCUUUUCCUACUCCAACUGAUACCUCAGAGUAGCACUCAAAAGAAUCCAAGAAUGAAAGAACAAACAAAAACAAAAGGAAACAAUCCAAGAAAAGGCUCGAACAAAGAUACUACUACAGGAUCACAAACAACAGUACUGUAUUUACAAAUAGUGCUUCUAAUAGUGGAAAACUGAUCAGUAGGAGAAUGGAGAAAUGAGUCACAGAAUAUUCCUACUGCGGAGUAUUAUGCAGUUGUAACAAAGGGUGCGGUAGAUCAAUGUGGAAAAAAAUCUCCAAGGUGUAGUAACUAAAACAGGCAAAUAGAAUUAAAACACUAAGGUUUAUUUUAGAAAGAAGAAAGAAAACCAUUAUUUACUAAUUUUUCUAACUAGGCAACUGUUUCUUAUAUGUAUACGUAAGAAGGUCAAAGACUGAGGGAAAGAAAAUGUUUUAUCCCUAUAGAAUAUGAUGAUUAAAUAUUUAAAAAUUUUCCUAAUUAGUAGUUAUUUCUGAGGUGCAGAAUAUAACAUAACACUGAAACUAUUUGUCGCUCACAGUAAAUAAAUGUUGAUCUUUUCCA